CCUUCGGGAACUCUGACACAGGUGCUGCAUGGCUGUCGUCAGCUCGUGUCGUGAGAGUGUUGGGUUAACGUCCGUAACGAGCCGCAACCCUUGUCCUUAGUUACCAGCACGUUAUGGUGGGCACUCUAAGGAGACUGCCGGUGACAAACCGGAGGAAGGUGGGGAGUGACGUCAAGUCAUCAUCGGCCCUUACGGCCGUGGGCUACACACGUGCUACAAUGGUCGGUACAAAGGGUUGCCAAGCCGCGAGGUGGAGCUAAUCCCAUAAAACCGAUCGUAGUCCGGAUCGCAGUCUGCAACUCGACUGCGUGAAGUCGGAAUCGCUAGUAAUCGUGAAUCAGAAUGUCACGGUGAAUACGUUCCCGGGCCUU
This 371-nucleotide ribosomal RNA is filed under the name uncultured Pseudomonas sp. RNAcentral's name for it is "bacterial SSU rRNA". It matches the Rfam family "Bacterial small subunit ribosomal RNA", at positions 1017 to 1382 of the family's 1533-position model. The record is from RNAcentral. Lineage: Bacteria; Pseudomonadati; Pseudomonadota; Gammaproteobacteria; Pseudomonadales; Pseudomonadaceae.